RNAcentral lists this unclassified non-coding RNA (200 nucleotides) under soil metagenome. RNAcentral's name for it is "partial contains internal transcribed spacer 2 and large subunit ribosomal RNA". The record is from RNAcentral.
UUCGAGCGUCAUUUCAACCCAUCAAGCUUCGGCUUGGUCUUGGGGCCUGCGGUUUCGCAGCCUCUAAACGCAGUGGCGGUGCUAUUGAGCUCUGAGCGUAGUAAUUUCUCUCGCUAUAGAGUCUCGGUGGUGACUUGCCAACAACCCCCAAUUUUUAUCAGGUUGACCUCGGAUCAGGUAGGGAUACCCGCUGAACUUAA